RNAcentral lists this unclassified non-coding RNA (240 nucleotides) under soil metagenome. RNAcentral describes it as "partial contains 5.8S ribosomal RNA, internal transcribed spacer 2, and large subunit ribosomal RNA". The record is from RNAcentral.
AACGCACGAGACCUGCGGACCUGCGGAGGGAUCAUUACUGAGUGAGGGCCCUCUGGGUCCAACCUCCCACCCGUGUUUAUUGUACCUUGUUGCUUCGGCAGGCCCGCCUCACGGCCGCCGGGGGGCUUUCCGCCCCCGGGCCCGCGCCUGCCGGAGACAAUCUUGAACGCUGUCUGAAGAAUGCAGUCUGAGCGAUUAAGCAAAAUUAGUUAAAACUUUCAACAAUGGAUCUCUAGAUCG